AGCUUGGUGACUGAGGCCGUUUGUUCGGCGC
This 31-nucleotide small RNA is filed under the name Bombyx mori (domestic silkworm). RNAcentral's name for it is "ovarian small RNA-4550". The record is from RNAcentral. Lineage: Eukaryota; Metazoa; Arthropoda; Insecta; Lepidoptera; Bombycidae.